CAGAAAAGUUACCACAGGGAUAA
Molecule: non-coding RNA, 23 nt
Filed under: Arabidopsis thaliana (thale cress)
Lineage: Eukaryota; Viridiplantae; Streptophyta; Magnoliopsida; Brassicales; Brassicaceae
Also listed under: 2 other names
Source: RNAcentral